Molecule: ribosomal RNA, 301 nt
Filed under: uncultured bacterium
Lineage: Bacteria
Description: partial 16S ribosomal RNA
Rfam family: Bacterial small subunit ribosomal RNA
Source: RNAcentral
CAGUAGCCACGGUAAUACAGAGGGUGCAAGCGUUAAUCGGAAUUACUGGGCGUAAAGCGCGCGUAGGUGGUUUGUUAAGUUGGAUGUGAAAGCCCCGGGCUCAACCUGGGAACUGCAUCCAAAACUGGCAAGCUAGAGUACGGUAGAGGGUGGUGGAAUUUCCUGUGUAGCGGUGAAAUGCGUAGAUAUAGGAAGGAACACCAGUGGCGAAGGCGACCACCUGGACUGAUACUGACACUGAGGUGCGAAAGCGUGGGGAGCAAACAGGAUUAGAUACCCCAGUAGUCCCUGUCUCUUAUAA